RNAcentral lists this ribosomal RNA (492 nucleotides) under uncultured bacterium. RNAcentral describes it as "partial 16S ribosomal RNA". It matches the Rfam family "Bacterial small subunit ribosomal RNA", at positions 29 to 507 of the family's 1533-position model. The record is from RNAcentral.
AGUGAACGCUGGCGGUAGGCCUAACACAUGCAAGUCGAACGGCAGCACAGUAAGGGCUUGCUCUUACGGGUGGCGAGUGGCGGACGGGUGAGGAAUACAUCGGAAUCUACUUUUUCGUGGGGGAUAACGUAGGGAAACUUACGCUAAUACCGCAUACGACCUACGGGUGAAAGCAGGGGAUCUUCGGACCUUGCGCGAUUGAAUGAGUCGAUGUCGGAUUAGCUAGUUGGCGGGGUAAAGGCCCACCAAGGCGACGAUCCGUAGCUGGUCUGAGAGGAUGAUCAGCCACACUGGAAGUGAGACACGGUCCAGACUCCUACGGGAGGCAGCAGUGGGGAAUAUUGGACAAUGGGCGCAAGCCUGAUCCAGCCAUACCGCGUGGGUGAAGAAGGCCUUCGGGUUGUAAAGCCCUUUUGUUGGGAAAGAAAAGCAGCAGGUUAAUACCCCGCUGUUCUGACGGUACCCAAAGAAUAAGCACCGGCUAACUUCGUG